CGGACGAACGCUGGCGGCGUGCCUAACACAUGCAAGUCGAGCGGAGAUACAUUGAAGAUUUAUCGGAUAUGUAUCUUAGCGGCGGACGGGUGAGUAACGCGUGGGUAACCUGCCUUAUACAGGGGGAUAACACAGGGAAACUUGUGCUAAUACCGCAUAAUAUCAUUGUAUGGCAUCAUAUGGUGAUCAAAGGAGCAAUCCGGUAUAAGAUGGACCCGCGUCCAAUUAGCUAGUUGGUGGUGUAACGGACCACCAAGGCGACGAUUGGUAGCCGAACUGAGAGGUUGAUCGGCCACAUUGGGACUGAGACACGGCCCAGACUCCUACGGGAGGCAGCAGUGGGGAAUAUUGCACAAUGGGGGAAACCCUGAUGCAGCAACGCCGCGUGAAGGAUGAAGGUUUUCGGAUCGUAAACUUCUUUGAUGAGGGACGAAUAAUGACGGUACCUCAAGAACAAGCCACGGCUAACUACGUG
RNAcentral lists this ribosomal RNA (475 nucleotides) under uncultured bacterium. RNAcentral's name for it is "bacterial SSU rRNA". It matches the Rfam family "Bacterial small subunit ribosomal RNA", at positions 27 to 507 of the family's 1533-position model. The record is from RNAcentral.